GUCGAGCGAUGGAUUGAGAGCUUGCUCUCAAGAAGUUAGCGGCGGACGGGUGAGUAACACGUGGGUAACCUGCCCAUAAGACUGGGAUAACUCCGGGAAACCGGGGCUAAUACCGGAUAACAUUUUGAACUGCAUGGUUCGAAAUUGAAAGGCGGCUUCGGCUGUCACUUAUGGAUGGACCCGCGUCGCAUUAGCUAGUUGGUGAGGUAACGGCUCACCAAGGCAACGAUGCGUAGCCGACCUGAGAGGGUGAUCGGCCACACUGGGACUGAGACACGGCCCAGACUCCUACGGGAGGCAGCAGUAGGGAAUCUUCCGCAAUGGACGAAAGUCUGACGGAGCAACGCCGCGUGAGUGAUGAAGGCUUUCGGGUCGUAAAACUUCUGUUGUUAGGGAAGAACAAGUGCUAGUUGAAUAAGCUGGCACCUUGACGGUACCUAACCAGAAAGCCACGGCUUAAUUACGUGCCAGCAGCCGGGUAAUACGUAGGUGGCAAGCGUUAUCCGGAAUUAUUGGGCGUAAAGCGCGCGCAGGUGGUUUCUUAAGUCUGAUGUGAAAGCCCACGGCUCAACCGUGGAGGGUCAUUGGAAACUGGGAUACUUGAGUGCAGAAGAGGAAAGUGGAAUUCCAUGUGUAGCGGUGAAAUGCGUAGAGAU
RNAcentral lists this ribosomal RNA (656 nucleotides) under Bacillus sp. LT78. Its description in RNAcentral is "bacterial SSU rRNA". It matches the Rfam family "Bacterial small subunit ribosomal RNA", at positions 61 to 697 of the family's 1533-position model. Lineage: Bacteria; Bacillati; Bacillota; Bacilli; Caryophanales; Bacillaceae. The record is from RNAcentral.